ACUUACUUAUGCUUUAAAAACGAU
This 24-nucleotide non-coding RNA is filed under the name Arabidopsis thaliana (thale cress). The record is from RNAcentral. Lineage: Eukaryota; Viridiplantae; Streptophyta; Magnoliopsida; Brassicales; Brassicaceae.